RNAcentral lists this ribosomal RNA (253 nucleotides) under uncultured bacterium. RNAcentral's name for it is "partial 16S ribosomal RNA". It matches the Rfam family "Bacterial small subunit ribosomal RNA", at positions 524 to 776 of the family's 1533-position model. The record is from RNAcentral.
UACGUAGGGUGCGAGCGUUGUCCGGAAUUAUUGGGCGUAAAGGGCUCGUAGGCGGUUUGUCACGUCGGGAGUGAAAACUCAGGGCUUAACCCUGUUCGUGCUUCCGAUACGGGCAGACUAGAGGUAGGCAGGGGAGAAUGGAAUUCCUGGUGUAGCGGUGGAAUGCGCAGAUAUCAGGAGGAACACCGGUGGCGAAGGCGGUUCUCUGGGCCUAUUCUGACGCUGAGGAGCGAAAGCAUGGGGAGCGAACAGG